Molecule: long non-coding RNA, 2983 nt
Organism: Symphalangus syndactylus (siamang)
Lineage: Eukaryota; Metazoa; Chordata; Mammalia; Primates; Hylobatidae
Source: RefSeq, a predicted model, not a curated record
ACAGUAGAUGCCCUUACAAAGCCACGUACUGGCGGGAUCAGCAGCACCUGGGAGCCUGCUGGCAUGAGAUUCUUGGAUGUGCCUUGCACCUGCCAAGUCAGAAUGUCUAGAGGAAGGACAGACCAGCGGGGAGGACCCCCCCGGGCCCUUCCCCAGUGCAACCUGAGGCCUGAAUCCCGUCAACAUCAGACCCGGGCGCCUGGCUUCCCUAUCAAAGUGGACGUGUUGUGAGGGCAGAGGAUGCUGACGAGUAAAGCUGCUGUGGGCAACGGGCUCUCCCUGGCAGGCUGGGUGGGCAGGAGGGAGUGGUGGGGACUGCGGCAUGUGGAGAGCACACGGUGGUUCUGAGAGGGGCUGCUGCUACCCCACUGGGCGGGAGAGAGAGGGAGAGGGAGCCCUCUGCUGCCAGAUCUUUGGAUCUAUUUGUUUUUAUUUUUGUUUUUUUUGAGACAGAGUCUCCCUCUGUGGCCCAGGCUGGAGUGCAGUGGUGUGAUCUUGGCUCACUGCAACCUCCAAGUCCCUGGUUCAAGCGAUUCUCCUGCCUCAGCCUCCCAAGUAGCUGGGGUUACAGGCACGCGCCACCAUGCCCGGGGAAUUUUUGUAUUUUUAGUAGAUACGGGGUUUCACCGUGUUGGCUAGGAUGGUCUCGAUCUCCUGACCUCGUGAUCCGCCCGCCUCAGCCUCCCAAAGUGCUGGGAUUACAGGUGUGAGCCACCGCGCCUGGCCUGGAAUUUUAAAGAAAAGAUAGAAAUAUAGAGGUUCAGGUAGAGUGUCCCAACAUUCAGGUGUUGUCAAGUAAUUUUUUUUUUUUUUUGAGAUGGAGUCUCACUCUGUUGCCAGGGCUGGAGUGCAGUAGCGUGAUCUCAGUUCACUGCAACCUCCGCCUCCCGGGUUCAAGUGAUUCUCCUGCCUCAGUCUCCCGAGUAGCUGAGAUUACAGGUGCUCGCCACCACGCUCGGCUAAUUUUUGUAUUUUUAGUAGAGACGGGAUGUCACCAUGUUGGCCAGGCUGUUCUCGAACUCCUGACUUCAGAUGAUCCACCUGCCUUGGCCUCCCAAAGUGCUGGGAUUACAGGCAUAAAACGCUGCACCUGGCCUUGCCAAGUAAUUUUUUAAGUUUUACACAUUGUGCAGCGGGGAAGACACAUCUGUGGGCCAAAACCCUGGCGGCUCUCCCCGCUCACUCUCCGAGUUACCUGGCAUAUUAUAUACCACCUCCCCCCAGUCUCAGUUUCUUUAUCUGCAGGAAGGAGAAUAAGGGAGUAUAAUCAUAGCAGCUUUGCUGAGAAGAUAAGCUCGCUGGCGCUGGCGAAGGCCUGGAAUGCCUUCCCACGUGUAAUAGGCGGGGAAGAUGCAUUUCCCUGCCCCUGCCUUACAGCCCAGCCACAACCCUGCGGUCACAUACGGAACUCGCUGCGUGCCCGAAAGCAGUGACUAAGCCAGCGCUGGGAAACGGUGGGCCCUGCAGUGUCCUGCAGAUGUGUUCUGUUCUCUCUCACGUGAUGGACAACUAUGGACACAGGAGCCGGCGGCCACAGCAGGGGCUUUUGUCUGUGUGUCCUUCGUCCCAGCGUCUGCUUUAAUUCAGAACGACACCAGCAGCCCUGAACUUCCAUUCACUGUUCUCUCCAAAGAGCCUCUCUGAGGCCAGGCGUGCUGGUGCGCGCCUGUAAUCCCAGCUACUCAGCUACUCGGGAGGCUGAGGCAGGAGAAUCGCUUGAACCCAGGAGGUGGAAGUUGCAGUGAGCUGAGAUUGCACUAUUGCACGCCAGCCUGAGCAACAAGAGGCGGACUACGUCUAAGGAAAAAAAAGCCCCUUUGAGGCCUCACAAAUCUCCCUUGCAUCCAACGGGAAGCAGGAUUUAGUGCAUUCUACCCUCCUCCCACGGCCGCUGCCUCCGGUCCUCCCCGCCUGGCAAGGGGCAUUUAACACGGCGCACAGACCUGAAUGUACACAGAACCGAAAAGCCACUGAUGCCACAGAGGAGGCGCUCAUCUAUGCAGGAGACACAGGCUUCCCUGGCUCACAGAGACACAGGAUGUGGGAAGAGAGGGUAAUUUUAGGUUCUGUUUGCUGAGCUGCACCAACGGGCCCAUCAACAAUGAAACAUCCGCGUUGAACUCAGCGUGUGUCACCCAACAAAAGGAUGGGCUCAUUGCCACCUGCACUGAGGCGACACCACCUGGGUGCUGAACAGGCUUCCAGUCUCCACACAGCCGACCCUGGUGCACAGCAAGAUUGGAUGGUGCCGCCCACAUCGAGGUGGAACAGGAAUUAAAAGAAAUUAAAGAAUAUGUAAGCAGAAACUCAGCUGUAUGUAAGAAAACGCAGUUCCCCCUGAGAAAGAGAAAGUGCUGGAGUCCUUUAAAAUUAACUGCCUGUUUUUCUGUGGCUAGUGAGCCUUAUCUCUCCCUUUGCCAGGCAUCGUGAAGACCUGUUUCUCUAGCCGUGCAGCUGCAAAGUCAUAAACACAUAAACUCAAGUCGCAAAACAUGAUUUUCCUUGAGAAGUAAGAAAUGAUAUGAUGCAUGUCUCAAUUAAUUGAAUAACUGUCUUUGUUUCUCGCUUCUGUAAUAUGCUUCCCCCUGCACAGAUCUCCCUCCACCCCACGAAGUGCUUAAAAGGUAACUUAACUCUGUUCAGGGCUCAGUCCUUUGGAUGUUAAUCCGACUGGGCCGGUGCACCUAAAUAAUAAAUCUCCUCCUCAACCCGUCGCUCUCUGUGAUUCCUUAUCCAUCCUGCAACAGAGGGAGCUCUUCACCACCAGGUCCGCGAGGCUCAGAUGCCAGUCUCUGCUGGAAACACCUUCCCGACACCCCAAAAUCAAGCUCCGCCAGGUGUCCGGGUGUCCUGCAGCCAGUCCAAUGACCCCUACCUGAGCCGUCACACCCAGCUUGUCCUGCACCCUCCUAACCAUGGACUCACGGCACCAUUUCCGUUCUAUUAUGGUAGAAAUGGAAACUCCCACCAUUACUAGAGGCAA